GAUGAAGAACGUAGCGAAAUGCGAUAAGUAAUGUGAAUUGCAGAAUUCAGUGAAUCAUCGAAUCUUUGAACGCACAUUGCGCCCUCUGGUAUUCCGGGGGGCAUGCCUGUUCGAGCGUCAUUAUAACCACUCAAGCUCUCGCUUGGUAUUGGGGUUCGCGGUUCCGCGGCCCCUAAAAUCAGUGGCGGUGCCUGUCGGCUCUACGCGUAGUAAUACUCCUCGCGAUUGAGUCCGGUAGGUCUACUUGCCAGCAACCCCCAAUUUUUACAGGUUGACCUCGGAACAGGUAGGGAUACCCGCUGAACUUAAGCAUAUCAAUAAGCGGAGGA
This 329-nucleotide unclassified non-coding RNA is filed under the name soil metagenome. RNAcentral's name for it is "partial contains 5.8S ribosomal RNA, internal transcribed spacer 2, and large subunit ribosomal RNA". The stretch from base 1 to 120 matches the Rfam family "5.8S ribosomal RNA", at positions 35 to 154 of the family's 154-position model. The record is from RNAcentral.